RNAcentral lists this ribosomal RNA (637 nucleotides) under uncultured bacterium. RNAcentral's name for it is "bacterial SSU rRNA". It matches the Rfam family "Bacterial small subunit ribosomal RNA", at positions 607 to 1244 of the family's 1533-position model. The record is from RNAcentral.
GCUCAACCGGGGAGGGUCAUUGGAAACUGGGGAACUUGAGUGCAGAAGAGGAGAGUGGAAUUCCACGUGAAGCGGUGAAAUGCGUAGAGAUGUGGAGGAACACUAGUGGCGAAGGCGACUCUCUGGUCUGUAACUGACGCUGAGGCGCGAAAGCGUGGGGAGCGAACAGGAUUAGAUACCCUGGUAGUCCACGCCGUAAACGAUGAGUGCUAAGUGUUAGAGGGUUUCCGCCCUUUAGUGCUGCAGCAAACGCAUUAAGCACUCCGCCUGGGGAGUACGGUCGCAAGACUGAAACUCAAAGGAAUUGGCGGGGGCCCGCACAAGCGGUGGAGCAUGUGGUUUAAUUCGAAGCAACGUGAAGAACCUUACCAGGUCUUGACAUCCUCUGACAACCCUAGAGAUAGGGCUUCCCCUUCGGGGGCAGAGUGACAGGUGGUGCAUGGUUGUCGUCAGCUCGUGUCGUGAGAUGUUGGGUUAAGUCCCGCAACGAGCGCAACCCUUGAUCUUAGUUGCCAGCAUUCAGUUGGGCACUCUAAGGUGACUGCCGGUGACAAACCGGAGGAAGGUGGGGAUGACGUCAAAUCAUCAUGCCCCUUAUGACCUGGGCUACACACGUGCUACAAUGGGCAGAACAAAG